AUGUCGGAGAGCCCAGAAGAUCAACCAAGUACUGGAAUUUUGGGCCGUAUUGGUUACUGGUUGUCUCCGUGGAGAGGGAGAGCUUCUGUGCCGCCCUGUGAAAAUGACUCAAAUGACUCAUCGAGUGGCAGUUAUGCUGAAGGCACAGAAGGGGAGGAUGGCGAGGAGUCAGUGAAAGGCGUCCCGUCCGGAGAGGAGCAGGAUUCCAGCUCGGAGAAGUUUUUCCCCUGCGAGGAGGAGAACGCCACGCAGUCUGCCCGCAGAGACAGCUCCGCGGAGAGAGGAGGUCCGCGAGAGGAGGAGCUCGCGGUGUGCCGGGAGCAGAGAAGGGGGCGGGGCAACGAGAGGGAGGAGAGAAGCAACGGUACUUCGGAAAGUGGGAAUCAUGUGAAGAAUGUCUGUCAUCUGACGAAUCUCUUUACCUCUAGACCAGAAGCGGUGUGGGACUUUGACCAGCCUCGCCCCACACACCCAGGACAGGUUCAGUCAGACAAGAGACUCCAUGCAUACUUAGAGGAGACCAGCGUGAUUCACUCUGGCCAACAGGAAGUUGUCACAACCACAUUAAAAAAAGGUCUGCACGUUCCCGCUAAGGGGAAGCCGUCUGCUAGCUUAACUGCAGAGACAAAUGACAGCACAGUAGUGUCAGAACCUCAACCUGAUAAGGAACAAACAGACGACAUGGGGCGCAAACAUUCCGGCAGAAAAAGAUCCAGGAGGAAAUCUCAGGGAGACGGGGGGAGCAAACCCCCCGAAAAACCUGCAGAAGAAUCCUGUAACUCAGUGUCCAGUCCCCAAAGCGAAAGUCCCACUUCCCCCGCAGGAGAGGCGCGUUCAAGCCCCUCCUCCGAGACAAACCCCACCUCGCAGGCCGCACCUGGAGGAGGAGGAGGAGGGCAAAUUGAAACUGUUUGUCCAGGCGCCGUAAAACAGUUGGGCAACCUCAGGAAUUCAAUCUCUGUCACUGCAGCCACUAAGGCACGUGAAGGGAACGCAGGUGCCGAAAUGGAGCAGGAAGGCAGCUUUUACAAGGUGGAGAGGAAGACUGAAACGCCAGAGUCCAAACGCAGGAGUAUCAAGGUUUCAACUUGUGAGGUGAAGAACUACACGAAAGUUCUGCCUUUAAAUCAGCCGCUGAACCAGCAGGAACUGAAUUCAGAUCGUCCGACCACCGGAGAUGAAGACAAGAACCGGCCGGGAACCUUUCCGGACUCAAGGUACGUUUACGUUCUUCUUCACCUAAAAUCAAAGGGAGGAUUAUGCGUGGUUAAAAAUAACCGAUGCGUCAAGUCAGAGGCGAAACUG
RNAcentral lists this long non-coding RNA (1305 nucleotides) under Oryzias javanicus (javanese ricefish). RNAcentral describes it as "lncRNA (ENSOJAG00000022561.1)". The record is from RNAcentral. Lineage: Eukaryota; Metazoa; Chordata; Actinopteri; Beloniformes; Adrianichthyidae.